CUUUACUGUAGCUUUGUAUUGGACUUUGAACAGAUCUGUGUAGGAUAGGUGGGAGGCUUUGAAGCCGGGACGCUAGUUUCGGUGGAGCCAACGUUGAAAUACCACCCUGGUGUGUUUGAGGUUCUAACCUAGGUCCAUUAUCUGGAUCGGGGACAGUGCAUGGUAGGCAGUUUGACUGGGGCGGUCUCCUCCCAAAGUGUAACGGAGGAGUUCGAAGGUACGCUAGGUACGGUCGGACAUCGUGCUAAUAGUGCAAUGGCAUAAGCGUGCUUAACUGCGAGACUGACAAGUCGAGCAGAUGCGAAAGCAGGACAUAGUGAUCCGGUGGUUCUGUAUGGAAGGGCCAUCGCUCAACGGAUAAAAGGUA
Molecule: ribosomal RNA, 367 nt
Filed under: uncultured organism
Description: bacterial LSU rRNA
Rfam family: Bacterial large subunit ribosomal RNA
Source: RNAcentral